Molecule: ribosomal RNA, 452 nt
Filed under: uncultured bacterium
Lineage: Bacteria
Description: bacterial SSU rRNA
Rfam family: Bacterial small subunit ribosomal RNA
Source: RNAcentral
UGCAAGUCGAGCGGAGAUAAGUUGAAGCCUAGCGAUUCUUAUCUUAGCGGCGGAUGGGUGAGUAACACGUGGGUAACCUGCCCUGUACUGGGGAAUAACAGCUGGAAACGGCUGUUAAUGCCGCAUAUGCGCACGGAGCCGCAUGACUCUGGGCGGAAAGAUUUAUCGGUACAGGAUGGGCCCGCGCCGGAUUAACUAGUUGGCGGGGUAACGGCCCACCAAGGUGAUGAUCCGUAGCCGACCUGAGAGGGUGACCGGCCACAUUGGGACUGAGACACGGCCCAAACUCCUACGGGAGGCAGCAGUGGGGGAUAUUGCACAAUGGGGGAAACCCUGAAUGCAGCGACGCCGCGUGAAGGAUGACGUAUUUCGGUAUGUAAACUUCUAUCAGCGGGGAAGAAGAUGACGGUACCCGACUAAGAAGCCCCGGCUAACUACGUGCCAGCCGCCGC